Molecule: long non-coding RNA, 217 nt
Filed under: Nicotiana benthamiana
Lineage: Eukaryota; Viridiplantae; Streptophyta; Magnoliopsida; Solanales; Solanaceae
Description: long non-coding RNA (NBEN_LNC000538)
Source: RNAcentral
AAAUGAAGACCUCUAUUUUGAGUCUUAUUUAUACUUGUGAUCUUGAUCCUGCUCUAAUUUUAUGUCUUGGCUUCUCUCCAAAAAUUAUUUUCAUAAAACAUAUGCAUAUCAUAAAUAUUUUUUAUACUCUUGGAAUAAAUUGAUUUUCAUGUUCUAAAUUGAACCAAAAAGGUUAUUAAAAGUGUCUUUAAUAUUUAAGACAUAUAUUAUAUUUUUG